This 255-nucleotide ribosomal RNA is filed under the name uncultured bacterium. RNAcentral's name for it is "partial 16S ribosomal RNA". It matches the Rfam family "Bacterial small subunit ribosomal RNA", at positions 524 to 775 of the family's 1533-position model. The record is from RNAcentral.
GACGUAGGGCGCGAGCGUUGUCCGGAUUUAUUGGGCGUAAAGAGCUCGUAGGCGGCUUGUCGCGUCGACUGUGAAAACCCCGCGGCUUAACUGCGGGACUGCAGUCGAUACGGGCAGGCUAGAGUUCGGUAGGGGAGACUGGAAUUCCGUGGUGUAGCGGUGAAAUGCGCAGAUAUCAGGAGGAACACCGGUGGCGAAGGCGGGUCUCUGGGCCGACACGUGACGCUGAGGAGCGAAAGCGUGGGGAGCGAACGG